RNAcentral lists this ribosomal RNA (383 nucleotides) under uncultured eukaryote. Its description in RNAcentral is "partial 18S ribosomal RNA". It matches the Rfam family "Eukaryotic small subunit ribosomal RNA", at positions 592 to 976 of the family's 1831-position model. The record is from RNAcentral.
CAAUAGCGUAUAUUAAAGUUGUUGCAGUUAAAAAGCUCGUAGUUGGAUUUCUGGUGGGAGCGAUCGGUCUGGCGCUUAGCGCGAGUACUUGCAUCGUCUCCGGCCAUCCUUGGGGAGAGUCUGUCUGGCAUUAGGUUGUCGGGCAGAGGAUCCUCAUCGUUUACUGUGAAAAAAUUAGAGUGUUCAAAGCAGGCUUAUGCCGUUGAAUAUUUUAGCAUGGAAUAAUAAGAUAGGACUUUGGUACUAUUUUGUUGGUUUGCGCACCAAAGUAAUGAUUAAUAGGGACAGUUGGGGGUAUUCGUAUUCCGUUGUCAGAGGUGAAAUUCUUGGAUUUACGGAAGACGAACUACUGCGAAAGCAUUUACCAAGGAUGUUUUCAUUAA